This 1765-nucleotide ribosomal RNA is filed under the name Salmonella enterica subsp. enterica serovar Paratyphi A. RNAcentral's name for it is "bacterial LSU rRNA". It matches the Rfam family "Bacterial large subunit ribosomal RNA", at positions 1258 to 2925 of the family's 2925-position model. The record is from RNAcentral. Lineage: Bacteria; Pseudomonadati; Pseudomonadota; Gammaproteobacteria; Enterobacterales; Enterobacteriaceae.
GGCCUGUGAGGGUUGCUGGAGGUAUCAGAAGUGCGAAUGCUGACAUAAGUAACGAUAAAGCGGGUGAAAAGCCCGCUCGCCGGAAGACCAAGGGUUCCUGUCCAACGUUAAUCGGGGCAGGGUGAGUCGACCCCUAAGGCGAGGCCGAAAGGCGUAGUCGAUGGGAAACGGGUUAAUAUUCCCGUACUUGGUGUUACUGCGAAGGGGGGNNNNNNNNNNNNNNNNNNNNGGGGGGACGGAGAAGGCUAUGUUGGCCGGGCGACGGUUGUCCCGGUUUAAGCGUGUAGGUGUGUGUUCCAGGUAAAUCCGGUUCACUUUAACACUGAGGCGUGACGACGAGGCACUACGGUGCUGAAGCAACAAAUGCCCUGCUUCCAGGAAAAGCCUCUAAGCAUCAGGUAACAUCAAAUCGUACCCCAAACCGACACAGGUGGUCAGGUAGAGAAUACCAAGGCGCUUGAGAGAACUCGGGUGAAGGAACUAGGCAAAAUGGUGCCGUAACUUCGGGAGAAGGCACGCUGACACGUAGGUGAAGUGAUUUACUCAUGGAGCUGAAGUCAGUCGAAGAUACCAGCUGGCUGCAACUGUUUAUUAAAAACACAGCACUGUGCAAACACGAAAGUGGACGUAUACGGUGUGACGCCUGCCCGGUGCCGGAAGGUUAAUUGAUGGGGUCAGCGCAAGCGAAGCUCCUGAUCGAAGCCCCGGUAAACGGCGGCCGUAACUAUAACGGUCCUAAGGUAGCGAAAUUCCUUGUCGGGUAAGUUCCGACCUGCACGAAUGGCGUAAUGAUGGCCAGGCUGUCUCCACCCGAGACUCAGUGAAAUUGAACUCGCUGUGAAGAUGCAGUGUACCCGCGGCAAGACGGAAAGACCCCGUGAACCUUUACUAUAGCUUGACACUGAACAUUGAGCCUUGAUGUGUAGGAUAGGUGGGAGGCUUUGAAGUGUGGACGCCAGUCUGCAUGGAGCCGACCUUGAAAUACCACCCUUUAAUGUUUGAUGUUCUAACGUGGACCCGUUACCCGGGUUGCGGACAGUGUCUGGUGGGUAGUUUGACUGGGGCGGUCUCCUCCUAAAGAGUAACGGAGGAGCACGAAGGUUGGCUAAUCCUGGUCGGACAUCAGGAGGUUAGUGCAAUGGCAUAAGCCAGCUUGACUGCGAGCGUGACGGCGCGAGCAGGUGCGAAAGCAGGUCAUAGUGAUCCGGUGGUUCUGAAUGGAAGGGCCAUCGCUCAACGGAUAAAAGGUACUCCGGGGAUAACAGGCUGAUACCGCCCAAGAGUUCAUAUCGACGGCGGUGUUUGGCACCUCGAUGUCGGCUCAUCACAUCCUGGGGCUGAAGUAGGUCCCAAGGGUAUGGCUGUUCGCCAUUUAAAGUGGUACGCGAGCUGGGUUUAGAACGUCGUGAGACAGUUCGGUCCCUAUCUGCCGUGGGCGCUGGAGAACUGAGGGGGGCUGCUCCUAGUACGAGAGGACCGGAGUGGACGCAUCACUGGUGUUCGGGUUGUCAUGCCAAUGGCACUGCCCGGUAGCUAAAUGCGGAAGAGAUAAGUGCUGAAAGCAUCUAAGCACGAAACUUGCCCCGAGAUGAGUUCUCCCUGAGACUUUAGGUCUCCUGAAGGAACGUUGAAGACGACGACGUUGAUAGGCCGGGUGUGUAAGCGCAGCGAUGCGUUGAGCUAACCGGUACUAAUGAACCGUGAGGCUUAACCUUACAACGCCGAAGAUGUUUUGGCGGAUGAGAGACGAUUUUCAGCACUGAUU